This 800-nucleotide ribosomal RNA is filed under the name uncultured bacterium. RNAcentral's name for it is "bacterial SSU rRNA". It matches the Rfam family "Bacterial small subunit ribosomal RNA", at positions 8 to 786 of the family's 1533-position model. The record is from RNAcentral.
AGAGUUUGAUCCUGGCUCAGAACGAACGCUGGCGGCGUGGCUAAAACAUGCAAGUCGAGCGCGAAUUCCCGGGCAACUGGGAUAGUAGAGCGGCGGAAGGGUGAGUAAUGCAUGGGUAACGUACCUUAAGUACAGGGAUAGCCCACCGAAAGGUGGAGUAAUACCUGAUGAGACCACAGUGCCUUAUGGCACAGCGGUCAAAGGACGGGGAUCGCAAGACCUGUCGACUUAAGAUCGGCCCAUGUCCUAUCAGCUAGUUGGUGAGGUAAGAGCUUACCAAGGCGACGACGGGUACCGGGACUGAGAGGUUGGCCCGGCACAUUGGGACUGAGACACUGCCCAGACUCCUACGGGAGGCUGCAGUAACGAAUAUUCCGCAAUGGGCGAAAGCCUGACGGAGCGACGCCGCGUGUGGGAUGAAGCCCUUCGGGGUGUAAACCACUGUCAGGGAUUACCAAGCAAAGGGACCUAAUACGUCCCUGCGUUGAGGCGUCCCAGAGGAAGCCACGGCUAACUUCGUGCCAGCAGCCGCGGUAAUACGAAGGUGGCAAGCGUUGUUCGGAAUCACUGGGCUUAAAGAGCACGUAGGCGGCCUCAUAAGCGCUUUGUGAAAUCCCUCGGCUCAACCGGGGAAUUGCUGGGCGAACUGUGAGGCUUGAGGCAAGUAGGGGUGCAUGGAACUCUUGGUGGAGCGGUGAAAUGCGUAGAUAUCAAGAGGAACGCCGGUGGCGAAAGCGGUGCACUGGGCUUGUCCUGACGCUGAGGUGCGAAAGCUAGGGGAGCAAACGGGAUUAGAUACC